CGGUUGUGUAAUCCGUUGGUUUGUUGUGCGGAGAGGGGCUUGUCUGGAGGAAGAGGCCAGUAUGGAUCCGCCGCGGGACAUUCAACAUUUUAAACGAAACAUCGCCACUCGGUCCACGGUAUCGUCGUGUUCCUCUCUCGCCAUGGAGAUUAAGAGAAAGAAAAUAAGGGAAAGCAUGUUUUUUCAAAAUGAGGACUGUGAUAUUCAGGAGAAGUUGGAGUUUGAGAUGCGGAUGAGAGCUGGGGCUUACAAGCUUCUGGUUGCCAGCACUAAAAAAGAGCAGGUGCUGGAUGCUUCCAGGAGUCUGUUAACCUGUAAUGCCCGAAUUAAAGCCUACAUGAGUGAAUCCCAGAUGAGGAAAGCGCAGCAGGACAUCAGAAGGUCAUCUGGCUCUCAGGAUCAAAUCCCUUGUAAAGGAAAGGUAGCCAUAUCUGGCCUACGAAUUCCAUUGUUUUGGAAAGAUACAGAACACUUUAACAGCAAAGGGAAUCCACAACGGGUUGCAGUCUUCUGUUUGAUGAAGAUUGGCUCAGAGAUUUUUGACACUGAAAUGGUGAUUGCAGACCCCUCAAUGACCGAUGUUUGCUUUGAAGGUGUCAAAAUUUUCUCUGAAGCUAAGCCGGACUUUGAACUGACAUUUGAGCUGUAUAGCUGUGGACUGGAGGAGGAGUCAACCUUUGUCAACACUCCAAAAAAACUGGCCAGGAAACUACGCUUCUCUUUCGGCAGAUCUUCAUGCAGGAAACUCUGCCCUCUUAUGGAUGGAGGAGACCCUGACACUUUCCUCCAGUCCAACCCAAUACCAGUAGGUGCACGGUACUCACUGUUGGCGUACACCACUCUGGGUUUGGAGCAGGCAGAGGGAUCUUUCCAGUCUCAUUCUCUUAUAAUUCUGCAAAAUGUGGAGGCUUCAUCAUGGCUGCCGUUGUAUGGUAACUUGUGCUGUAAGCUGGUGGCACAACCUGACUGCAUGACACAAGACAUGAUAAGCGGAUACCUGAGCCAACAGCAAAGCAUUGAGGGUUUGCAGCGCCGCUGUAAGCUAUUCUGUGUGCUGAAGGCUGGACAGAUUUCAUGCUAUUACACUCCUGAAGAAAUCCAAGCAAAAGUGGAGCCCAGCCUCAUUAUUCCCAUUAACAAGGACACCCGUAUUCGUGUGGUAGGAAAGGACCACCAGCAGACUGGCACUAGACUCAACCUGAUAAACCCGGGAAAUGGAGACUCUGCCAGUCAUGUGUUCAUUACUGAAACCCCUGACGUCUUGCAGGAGUGGCUGGAUGCCCUCUGGCAGCACAUUUAUGACCAGAGUCAGUGGCAACAUACAUGUGACAAGAUCAUGGAAAUAGAGGUUUUGUCACCACGGAAACCCCCGCUCUUUCUCAUGAAGCAAGCUGACUCUGUUUAUAAUGAUCUAAGCAUCGGGUCCCCUGGGAAAUUUGAGAGCUUGACUGACAUAAUUCACAAUAAGAUUGAGGAAACUGAUGGGCGCUUUCUUAUUGGUCAGGAGGAGGACACAGAGCCUCCCUAUUGGGCAGCACUGUUUGAAGGAUCCCGGCCAGUGGUGGUACAAAAAACAGUUCUGUCACCAGGUAAAGAAAGCAAUCAGUCAAUUACAAGUCCCGUCAUGGCCAGCAGAAUCAAGAGGAGAGCACCUCCACCCCCUCCUGAUAAAUUACCAUUUGUUCAACCUACCAGUGUAUUAUCCAAUCAAGAGAAAGAGAACUGUAAGGGGGCAAGGCUUCGGACAGGGCGACCCUCGCUUGAUGCUAAAUUCUCUGCCAUCAUUCAGCAGUUGCAGAAGAGCCACACAUCCACUCGCAAAAAUACACCUCUUGGACAGAUCGAGCACUGUCAGCACCCUUGCAUCCCUCAGAAAAGAGAUGACGAGUCCAAUAUACCUGAAAAGCCUGGGAAAGAGUACAGUCAGGCCCCUCAGCCACCUGUGCCGGCCCCCAGAAACAAACUGAGGAUGUCAUUCAGAGACAAAAUGAACCCAAAAGCCUGGUGAAUUAAUGAGGCGCGAGACAUCUCUUUGAUUAAUGAUCUGUUAUGGAAAGAUGAAACCUCCUUGGAUUCAUAAGGAGAUAAACUCCCUCUUGUCCUUUCAUUGAUCCAUAUCAAGGGUCAAGAGAAUGUGGAUGAGAAUGCUGGGAGUGAAUGGGAGAGUAUAAAUGGCCUUCCUUGUUUGUUCUAGCUUGAACAAACACUUGAAUUCAGACUAAAUUUGCUAUUUUUUUAAGUCUUACGAUAUUAAUUGUUUUUAAAAUAACAGUCCAGAUGUUGAUAGGUGGAUAACCUUCAAGACUUGAUGAUGGCCCAAUUCUUUUUAACUUUAGAAUCUUGUUUUACUGUUAUUCACUUGCAUAUCAUGUCUUUUAAAACUAGUUGUCUGUAAUCACUCAUGAUGUAACCACUACAACCAAGCACUUUUGGCCCACAGCCACUGCAUCAUUUUGGUCUAAGUUUAUAUUUUUCCUGUCAUAUCACAGAAUAAUGUCAAAAUAUAAUUUUAGUUUUUUCCGUCUGUGGUAUGAAAACCGGUGCAUGCUUUGUAGUUUUUCUUAAAGUAUCAGUAGGUGAAAAAAGAUACAUCAGGAACUGGAUAACGGGUUUUAUGUUUUUUAGACUGAAUGAUUUUAUACAGUUAAACCUAUAAACCGUUAACUAACAUUUUAUCUUUUUUUUUUAUUUUUCAUGUUAGACACUAAGGGUUUAAUCUUCAUAUUGUUGUAUUUGAUCAAGUAGUUAAAAUAGUUCAAUUUUUAUAGGGUCUGAGCACUAUGAAACUGUACUUAGGGCACAGUGUGUAUGAAAAUGUAUUGUAAGGUAAAUGUGAUUAGUUUAAUAUCGUUUCAUUUAUGUACACUUCUGAAUGUUUAAGUAGCACACACAAUGCGUUCCACUAAAUGCUGUUGUAGAUUAUUUUCAAGAUAAUUCAUGUUAUGGUACUACUAGUGCAAUACAUGGUUUCGGUUGUUUGGAACUGUUCUAUUUAAGUUGUUUUAGAGUAAAUCACUCUUCAUCAAACAUUCUUUGGCCAUUAAUCUAGGAAAAUAUAUUUGUGGAAAUUUUGCUAAAAUGAAAUGGAACAACAUUAAAAAGUUGUACUGAA
This is an RNA transcript of Sinocyclocheilus rhinocerous, 3112 nucleotides long. It is a transcript of the gene named rhotekin-2-like, with no coding region annotated. The transcript is spliced from 14 exons. NCBI's taxonomy places the organism in Eukaryota, Metazoa, Chordata, Actinopteri, Cypriniformes, Cyprinidae. The record is from RefSeq and is a predicted model, not a curated record.